RNAcentral lists this long non-coding RNA (1280 nucleotides) under Olea europaea subsp. europaea. Lineage: Eukaryota; Viridiplantae; Streptophyta; Magnoliopsida; Lamiales; Oleaceae. The record is from RNAcentral.
GAGAGUAACCCGGGGACAGUAACACACAUUGAAGUAGAUUCUCGUAACAGAUUUCACUACCUUUUUCUAGCUUUCGGUGCAAGCAUUCAGGGUUACCUGCACUACAUGAGGCCCGUUAUUUGUGUUGACGGCAGUCACUUGAAAGGUCCGUACAAAGGUACCCUGCUACUGGCAACUGCCCAAGACGCCAACAAACAGAUUUAUUCGUUAGCGUGGGGGAUUGUUGAUGCCGAAACGAUGGAUAUGGUUUUUAUCAAAUUUGAAAGAUCUUAUAGGUGAGUCGGACGAAUUGGUGUUUGUUUCGGACAGGAAAAAUAGUAUUGAAAAUGUCAUUGCCCACCUAUUUCCUCUGGCUCACCACGGGUGCUGUGUUUGGUAUACGUAAAAAAAUUAAAUCCAGCUAGUACAACGACGCAAGUUCAAUAUUUCUAUUCAAAAGAGUUGCAAGAACUUACCGGAUCGAAGAGUUUGAAAGACUUAUGGGACAGUUUCGUAGGGUUAGUGCAAGAGCGUACGGGUACUUGGAGCGAACAGGUUUCCUAUUUUGGUCACGGGCACUGUUUGUUGGCCAACGGUACAACAUUUUAACCAACAACAAUGCAGAAUCUUUGAACUCAAUGUUGAGACAUGCCCGUUCGUUACCAAUCACGUGCUUAGUGGAACACAUUCGGCAUUCUAUGCAGAAGUAGUUUUAUGAACGUCGAGCAAGUGCAACCGCAUGCAGUACCGUUUUGUCACCAACGAUGGAGAAUGAGUUACGGCUGACAUUCGAAAUAGGUACUAGGCUGCGAGCGCAUGGCUUGACAAAUAACUUAACACAAGUUGGAAUAUCCAACGACACGGACAUCGUAGAUUUCUCCGAAAAGACUUGCAUUUGUCGUGAGUUCCAACUGAAUCGUAUGUCGGCAUUCACACAACCCGUGCUGCUUGCUUGAGAGAUAAGUCAUUGUACGAUCUCUGCUUACCGUAUUACACAUCCGAGUACUGGAAGGGUGCCUAUGAAGAGGCUAUAUAUCCUGUUCUACGUGAAGUGGACUGGAAUGUUUCAUCCCAAAUUACAGGUACUCCUAUUAUGCCCCCUAGUGUGCCUCGUCCUCCAGGUAGACCACCCACACGAUGUAAGCGAUCUAGACAAGAGUGUACCACAUGGCUUAGGAAAUGCACUCGCUUCGGUGGACUUGGUCAUAACUGGACCACAUGUUCGAACCACACUGUACCACGUCCGAUGUAAGCAGCAUUUUGUACGUGAGUGGUUGAAGUUGUAAGUGAAGUGUUCUCCC